This 92-nucleotide non-coding RNA is filed under the name Brachybacterium nesterenkovii. RNAcentral describes it as "TPP sequence". It matches the Rfam family "TPP riboswitch aptamer (THI element)". Rfam says of the family: Vitamin B(1) in its active form thiamin pyrophosphate (TPP) is an essential coenzyme that is synthesised by coupling of pyrimidine and thiazole moieties in bacteria. The previously detected thiamin-regulatory element, thi box was extended, resulting in a new, highly conserved RNA secondary structure, the THI element, which is widely distributed in eubacteria and also occurs in some archaea. The record is from Rfam by way of RNAcentral. Lineage: Bacteria; Bacillati; Actinomycetota; Actinomycetes; Micrococcales; Dermabacteraceae.
ACGGCAGACACGGGGUGCCCCGCCGGGGCUGAGAUCACACCCGCGAACCUGCUCGAGCUCGUACUCGCGAAGGGAUGUCGACCUGAUGACGC